This 77-nucleotide transfer RNA is filed under the name TM7 phylum sp. oral taxon 348. RNAcentral describes it as "tRNA-Val". It matches the Rfam family "tRNA". Rfam says of the family: Transfer RNA (tRNA) molecules are approximately 80 nucleotides in length. Their secondary structure includes four short double-helical elements and three loops (D, anti-codon, and T loops). Further hydrogen bonds mediate the characteristic L-shaped molecular structure. tRNAs have two regions of fundamental functional importance: the anti-codon, which is responsible for specific mRNA codon recognition, and the 3' end, to which the tRNAs corresponding amino acid is attached (by aminoacyl-tRNA synthetases). tRNAs cope with the degeneracy of the genetic code in two manners: having more than one tRNA (with a specific anti-codon) for a particular amino acid; and 'wobble' base-pairing, i.e. permitting non-standard base-pairing at the 3rd anti-codon position. RNAcentral also lists the same sequence under 4 other names. Lineage: Bacteria; Candidatus Saccharimonadota. The record is from RNAcentral.
GGGGUGGUAGCUCAGCUGGCUAGAGCGCUACAUUCACACUGUAGAGGUCGGGAGUUCAAGUCUCUUCCGCCCCACCA